GGUUAAUUGUAAAGGGUUUCCCCCUACUACCACUCCCUGAGUUUUUUAUUUGCAAUGUUUAUUUUUGUUUUUUUUUUAAACUCUCUUCCCAGUUCCAGAUGGUUGAGGUUGAUGGAAGCCUAACCUCCAAUUAAAGAAAUUGUCAUGGUUUCUGUGGCACUGCAAUGGCAAAAUCAAAUAUACACCUCUUCAAACUGAAAGGUGUUAGUCGCAGCGUGUGGGAUCCAGUUCCCUGACCAGGGUCGAGCCCCAGCCCCCUUCACUGGGAGUGUGAAAUCUCAGCCACUGGACCAUCAGGGAAAUUCAAGGGCAUGGAUUUGAGCAGCAAACACACCUG
Long non-coding RNA from Bubalus bubalis (water buffalo), 337 nucleotides. RefSeq lists it as uncharacterized. Lineage: Eukaryota; Metazoa; Chordata; Mammalia; Artiodactyla; Bovidae. The record is from RefSeq and is a predicted model, not a curated record. The transcript is spliced from 3 exons.